AGUUUUUAAUGGAAGCCUAUUUAUUUUUUUUUAGAAUUAUUAUUUUAUUAUUUUUUCAGAAAAGGUAAACAGAACCGAAGAUCGCUUACGUUUCCACACGGACCCGUUUUAGUGACGUACCCAUCUGCCGUCAGCUUCUGUAAGUUUGGUGACUUGUUUUAAUCGUGUUCUGUUCAUUUACCUGCUUCCUAAACAUAGGUGAACUCUUCUAAUGUCUACCAUAGAGACUUGCUGUAAGCUGUACACAGACGUCUUUUCUGAAUGGAGAAGAUGGAGGAUUAUCCACUCUACUGCAUCAAAUGAUUCCAGCAUUACUGAUCUGCACCCUGGAAUAUCCUGGAAUAAUCACUUGUGCAGUUUUGAUGACAUCUCUUGA
Molecule: long non-coding RNA, 376 nt
Filed under: Neogobius melanostomus (round goby)
Lineage: Eukaryota; Metazoa; Chordata; Actinopteri; Gobiiformes; Gobiidae
Description: lncRNA (ENSNMLG00000001542.1)
Source: RNAcentral